Molecule: long non-coding RNA, 701 nt
Filed under: Canis lupus dingo (dingo)
Lineage: Eukaryota; Metazoa; Chordata; Mammalia; Carnivora; Canidae
Description: lncRNA (ENSCAFG00020004140.1)
Source: RNAcentral
GGGGAGAUGAAAGAUCAAGAGGCGUUGUUUUAGAGUUAGAGCCGUGACUGACCAUAUGCUUGUUUUGCAGUUAUUUCCAAAAAUAGAUGAUUAGUGGUGAGAAGCAACUGGUUUCUGAUGCUUAUAAGGGGGUCAGUUAAUAUUAUUUCCAACUGUUGGGGUAAGAUACAGGGUAGGCUGUGUACCUAACAGAAAGAGAUUGCUAAACUUCACAGUGCAUUGGAUCAGAUUUCAUGGAGCUCUUUACUGCCUCGACAAAGCUGUUGCCAAAUUUCUCAAACCUUUAAUAUUUCCUGGAAAAGAGAAGAGGUUGAGGGGGCUCUGUUUUCAGGGGAAGAACACCUCGCUGUACCAUAUUACCUAUAAUCGACACCAAGAGAGUCGCAGGAGGAUGGAGGCAUGUGGAUGGCAGAGAACAUCCCUGGAGGUUCAGCUUGUUAAAGGCAGCAUCGACUUGAUCGAUAACUGAUGGGAAGGAGUGUAUUAAUAGCUCUGCUCCGUCACCGCUCAGGUGGCACGAGCCCGAGGUGCAUUUUCUACACUGGCUCCCAGUGAUGGCAGCAGGAUUAAGCUCUAAUUGUCUGCAGCGAUGACUCGCUUGAUAACAAACCUGUCAUUGGCUGUCUUCCCUUUGCCCUCUCACUUCCUUGAAAACUCCCCUGAUGGUGUUUCUCGAGAUUUCCUCUCAAAUAAACUGUUUA